Coccinella septempunctata (seven-spotted ladybird) is the source of this 241-nucleotide long non-coding RNA. RefSeq lists it as uncharacterized. NCBI's taxonomy places the organism in Eukaryota, Metazoa, Arthropoda, Insecta, Coleoptera, Coccinellidae. The record is from RefSeq and is a predicted model, not a curated record. The transcript has 2 exons.
UCGUUCAAUGUGUAGUUAUUAAUAUGUUUUGAAUGUUAGAGAGGAAAGAUAUUUUUAGUGUUUUUAAAUUUCCAUCAUAACUACAGCAAGUUUUGUUGAUGAUCGAAACGGGUUGACGAUCAUAUAUAUGUUUUUAAUUUCAAAUAAUUCAAAUGAAUUAGUCAUGAUUAAGGACAACCCAAUUGUUUUGUAUGUGAUCAAACAAUAAAUGUCCGAAACGUCGACAAAAUUCAACUGGGCU